UUCAUUCUAAGGAGAAGACAAAGACAAAGCCGAAGCACACUUUCUCAAAACACUAUACACAUUUGGAGGGCUAACAAGCAAAGACAACAAGAGGGAGUGUCACUAGCAAAAAGAGGAUCAACAAAGGGGGUUUUUCUUAAAUUCCUUACAACUUAAUUUAUGCUAAUUACCUUUUAAUUACGCUUUAGACGGUGAAUGUGUCUUCAAGGGCUCAAAGUGUCCAAGAAGCCUCACCUAGGGCCGAAUAGUAUAGCAUUCUUGUUUAGUAAUUGUUACUUGUUUGUAUUUGCUUUUCUAUUGCUUUAGUAGUGACGUUUUGCAUGGUUAGUUUUGUUUAAAUUUGAACCGACUAGCUUUGUUGAAUAGAUAGCUUACAUUGUUUGCUUGCAUUUAAUUCUCAACUUAUU
RNAcentral lists this long non-coding RNA (407 nucleotides) under Phaseolus vulgaris (common bean). Its description in RNAcentral is "long non-coding RNA (PVUL_LNC003487)". The record is from RNAcentral. Lineage: Eukaryota; Viridiplantae; Streptophyta; Magnoliopsida; Fabales; Fabaceae.